UUCUGUCCCUAUCACGUCUCCUUGUUGUGUUCAGUUUCCUCAAAGUUUGCAUUCUGGACCUUUGCCGUCUGCCUCCUAGGUCAGAAGGAUCGUCGCCCAACUGGCUUCAAGCCCUGAAACUGAAGAAGAAGAAGGUCUGAGAAGUCACUGAGGUUCUUCCCACCUGGCAGUCUCAGGCAGUGCCCAUUCCUGUGGGGUCCCUGGGUGAGGAGACGGCUGGAGCCCCACCAUGCCCCAGGCUGCAGCCUCUGUCCCCUCCACCUCUGAGGAGCGUCUGGGGAGGCACAUUUAUGCACUUUGUAUCACCCUCCGAACUCCCCCCACACCUUCCCUUCCCUGGAUUUCAUCACUAGUGGUUGAAGGUUUUGUCCCUUCCUCUCCUCCUUCCCUCUCCCUCUCUGCUUCCUCCUCCAGCCUCCCUUGGGUUUUCUUUUGAUACCAAUUUAUAGCAUUUUUUAUAAAAGCCUUUGAUUUUUAUAAUGGGUGGGACUGUAUCCCUGCCUCACCCCAGGUCUCCGUCUGCCCCGCCAGGUACCCCACAGAGACCAAUGACAUUUUGCCACUUGAAACAAUAAAUAAAGUUUUUUGGGAA
This 592-nucleotide long non-coding RNA is filed under the name Homo sapiens (human). RNAcentral describes it as "non-protein coding lnc-SSRP1-1:1". The record is from RNAcentral. Lineage: Eukaryota; Metazoa; Chordata; Mammalia; Primates; Hominidae.